RNAcentral lists this long non-coding RNA (323 nucleotides) under Brassica napus (rape). Its description in RNAcentral is "long non-coding RNA (BNAP_LNC003308)". Lineage: Eukaryota; Viridiplantae; Streptophyta; Magnoliopsida; Brassicales; Brassicaceae. The record is from RNAcentral.
UUAACCGCUCUAACCUUUAACACGAGAGUUUGAAUACGAAAAAUCAAUUUGCAAAUAAUAUUAUUGAUCUUAUUGAAAAUCAGAGUGAGAACACGUCCUAAAAGAAGGAAACUGACACCCAACAAAACAAAAGAACCUACAAAUAAAUAUAGGCAAAGCAUAAAACAAAACCAAAUGUCAACCUUUAAACCCACAUAGAAUCCUCUUAAAUAAUAGAACAAAGAUAACACCUUGAAAAGCCUCACUCAAUCGGAGGUCUUCCGAUAAUCCACAAUAUAGCAAGCGAUGCAAUGUACUUAAAAGAAAUCUCACCUCAACCCCUA